UUAUGGCUGCGGGCGACGGAACGUUGAUGAACCCCGCCAGGCCGGGAACGGAGCAACGGUAGUCGACCGACCGGGUGUCCGCAGCCACCUCUU
Molecule: signal recognition particle RNA, 93 nt
Filed under: Myxococcales bacterium
Lineage: Bacteria; Pseudomonadati; Myxococcota; Myxococcia; Myxococcales
Description: signal recognition particle sRNA small type
Rfam family: Bacterial small signal recognition particle RNA
About the family: The signal recognition particle (SRP) is a universally conserved ribonucleoprotein involved in the co-translational targeting of proteins to membranes. Archaeal SRP consists of a 7S RNA and homologues of the eukaryotic SRP19 and SRP54 proteins.
Source: RNAcentral